This 76-nucleotide transfer RNA is filed under the name Hyphomonas pacifica. Its description in RNAcentral is "Hyphomonas sp. T16B2 tRNA-Lys". It matches the Rfam family "tRNA". From Rfam's summary of the family: Transfer RNA (tRNA) molecules are approximately 80 nucleotides in length. Their secondary structure includes four short double-helical elements and three loops (D, anti-codon, and T loops). Lineage: Bacteria; Pseudomonadati; Pseudomonadota; Alphaproteobacteria; Hyphomonadales; Hyphomonadaceae. RNAcentral also lists the same sequence under 2 other names. The record is from RNAcentral.
GUGCCCUUAGCUCAGUUGGUAGAGCAACUGACUUUUAAUCAGUAGGUCACAGGUUCGAACCCUGUAGGGCACACCA